Molecule: transfer RNA, 74 nt
Filed under: Chloroflexota bacterium
Lineage: Bacteria; Bacillati; Chloroflexota
Also listed under: 1 other name
Description: Chloroflexi bacterium tRNA-Gln
Rfam family: tRNA
About the family: Transfer RNA (tRNA) molecules are approximately 80 nucleotides in length. Their secondary structure includes four short double-helical elements and three loops (D, anti-codon, and T loops).
Source: RNAcentral
UGCCCGAUAGUGCAGCGGUAGCACACGUGCCUCUGGAGCAUGGGACCCUGGUUCGAAUCCAGGUCGGGCAGCCA